AUGCUCACUUUGGCGGCACAAAUACUAAAAUUGGAAUGAUACAGAGAAGAUUAGCAUGGCCCUUGUGCAAGGAUGAUACACAAAUAAUGAUAUUGUCCUCCCAUUAAU
This is a small nuclear RNA of Cercocebus atys (sooty mangabey), 108 nucleotides long. The record is from Ensembl. Lineage: Eukaryota; Metazoa; Chordata; Mammalia; Primates; Cercopithecidae.